Molecule: transfer RNA, 65 nt
Filed under: Fukomys damarensis (Damara mole-rat)
Lineage: Eukaryota; Metazoa; Chordata; Mammalia; Rodentia; Bathyergidae
Rfam family: tRNA
About the family: Transfer RNA (tRNA) molecules are approximately 80 nucleotides in length.
Source: Rfam by way of RNAcentral
GGUAUAGCUGAAUGGUAAAGCAUUUGCCUGGCAUACAUAAGGCCCUGGGUUUGAUCCUCAGCACC